This 749-nucleotide ribosomal RNA is filed under the name uncultured Methanocalculus sp. RNAcentral describes it as "bacterial SSU rRNA". It matches the Rfam family "Archaeal small subunit ribosomal RNA", at positions 102 to 856 of the family's 1478-position model. Lineage: Archaea; Methanobacteriati; Methanobacteriota; Methanomicrobia; Methanomicrobiales; Methanocalculaceae. The record is from RNAcentral.
GGAUAAUCUGCCCUCAGGUGAGGAAUAAUCCCGGGAAACUGGGGCUAAUGCCUCAUAGGAGACGGGUGCUGGAAUGCUCUGUCUCCGAAAGGUCCGCCGCCUGAGGAUGAGUCUGCGUCCGAUUAGGUAGUUGUUGGGGUAAGGGCCCAACAAGCCUUUGAUCGGUACGGGUUGUGGGAGCAAGAGCCCGGAGAUGGAUUCUGAGACAUGAAUCCAGGCCCUACGGGGCGCAGCAGGCGCGAAAACUUUACAAUGCGAGCAAUCGUGAUAAGGAAACCCUGAGUGCCUGUCAAUGCAGGCUGUUCUGGUGUCUAACACACACCAGGAGAAAGGGCGGGGCAAGACCGGUGCCAGCCGCCGCGGUAAUACCGGCUGCUCGAGUGAUAGCCACUUUUACUGGGCUUAAAGCGUUCGUAGCUUGGUCGUUAAGUCUCUGGGGAAAUCUUUUGGCUCAACCAAAAGACGUCUCAGGGAAACUGGCGAUCUUGGAACCGGGAGAGGUAAGACGUACUUCGGGGGUAGGAGUGAAAUCUUGUAAUCCCCGAGGGACGACCGAUGGCGAAGGCAUCUUACCAGAACGGCUUCGACAGUGAGGGACGAAAGCUGGGGGAGCAAACCGGAUUAGAUACCCGGGUAGUCCCAGCCGUAAACGAUGUGCGUUAGGUGUGUCAGUGACCACGAGUCGCUGAGGUGCCGAAGGGAAACCGUGAAACGCACCGCCUGGGAAGUACGGUCGCAAGGCUGAAACU